This is a long non-coding RNA of Pyrus x bretschneideri (Chinese white pear), 959 nucleotides long. RefSeq lists it as uncharacterized. The record is from RefSeq and is a predicted model, not a curated record. NCBI's taxonomy places the organism in Eukaryota, Viridiplantae, Streptophyta, Magnoliopsida, Rosales, Rosaceae. The transcript is spliced from 2 exons.
UGCUUAUAAGGAUAAUUCUGUAAUUCUCCCUAAAAAUUUAUAGAAUUAUCACUUUGGUCCUCAUUUUUGUCACAAAACCAAGAUCUGAAAUUUAAAUUGUUACCCUAUCACUUAGACUGCCACGUGGCAGCACCCUAACCCACUUCCCUUUUUCUCUUUUGUCCCCCCCCCUUCCGUGACCUUUUUCUUCUUCUCCUUUUUCUUUUUCUUUUCUUUUCUUUUCUUUUCUUUUGGUUUGUCUGCACUUUUCUUUCUCUCUCUCUCUCAAAAACUCUCUCUUUCCUUUUCUUCUUCUUCUACCCGUGAAAGACACACACACACACCCAUUGUUGCACCUGCUUGAGGACACAUCCACCAUCAUCACCAAACCUUAGCUUUCUCUCUCUCUCUCUCCCUUGCUCGCGGUGCCGGAGGACACGAACACUUCCGGCGAGUUUUAGCUUGUUUUUCCGGUUGGGUUUUGGAGUGUUUUGGCACGGGUAAAGGCACCCAAAUUUUUCCGGCGAGUGUGUGGUUUCCGAGGGAGUUUCCGGCCACCACAAGCCGUUACACGGCGAACCCAAGGUGCGAUUCUUAGCGGAGAUUUCGUUACUCCUGUUUGGUACAGCUUGCACCCUCGGUGUACGGACCUUGGAACGAGGAUUACGAUCUAAGCUACGAGGCGUUCCCCUACCAGUGAUUUGUAUCUUAUUCACUCCGCUUCGCCACCUAUUGUAAUAGCACUUCUUUAUUCUGAGUUCUGCUUGUACUCUGUAUUAGAAUUAUGCUCUGGGCGUGCUGUGGGUUUACCUAAUUUCUUUUUUAGAGGUUGAACUUUUAUUUGGGUUUUUAGUCUUUAUUGCGUACUUUAGUUUAUUUUCUCAGCUUUUGUUUUAAUUAAAUGGUUUCGUCACCCUUCGGGUGUCGGCCAGCACGUGACCAUCUCGAUGUCUCUAGGACCUCGGGGUCGGGGCGUGUCA